AAUCCAUGCAUUGGACACUUACACAUCAAAUCCUUAAAAUGCUCACAAGCCUCAUAUAAACUUUCAUCUUCUAGUUGCUUGAAAUAUGUCAAAUCAUUUCGCAGCUU
Hibiscus syriacus is the source of this 107-nucleotide small nucleolar RNA. NCBI's taxonomy places the organism in Eukaryota, Viridiplantae, Streptophyta, Magnoliopsida, Malvales, Malvaceae. The record is from RefSeq and is a predicted model, not a curated record.